GUCCAACGAUUCCUCAAAAUUGGAAGAAGACUCGUUUUCAUCUGAAACAUUUGCUAAAUUUGCACUGUCAAGCAACAUUUCAUGUAGGUUAACUCUACAAUUAUCAUUUGAUUGUUUGUCCUUAUUUCCAUCAUCAAAGUCGAGAUUUCUUUCAAGGCAGAGUCUAUAUUCAGCAUUACGCAAUGUGUACCCGGUCAUUAUUGAAGAAACUAAUAACUUAGAUACUGGUUCCCAUAAAGCCUCAACUAAAACUUGAAACUGGU
RNAcentral lists this unclassified non-coding RNA (263 nucleotides) under Hevea brasiliensis (rubber tree). Lineage: Eukaryota; Viridiplantae; Streptophyta; Magnoliopsida; Malpighiales; Euphorbiaceae. The record is from RNAcentral.